GAUGAACGCUGGCGGCGUGCCUAAUACAUGCAAGUCGAGCGAACGGACGAGAAGCUUGCUUCUCUGAUGUUAGCGGCGGACGGGUGAGUAACACGUGGAUAACCUACCUAUAAGACUGGGAUAACUUCGGGAAACCGGAGCUAAUACCGGAUAAUAUUUUGAACCGCAGGGUUCCCAAGUGAAAGACGCUCGUUCUGUCACUUAUAGAUGGAUCCGCGCUGCAUUCGCUAGUUGGUAAGGUAACGGCUUACCAAGGCAACGAUGCAUAGCCGACCUGAGAGGGUGAUCGGCCACCCUGGAACUGAGACACGGUCCAGACUCCUACGGGAGGCAGCAGUAGGGAAUCUUCCGCAAUGGGCGAAAGCCUGACGGAGCAACGCCGCGUGAGUGAUGAAGGUGUUCGGAUCGUAAAACUCUGUUAUUAGGGAAGAACAUAUGUGUAAGUAACUGGGCACAUCUUGACGGUACCUAAUCAGAAAGCCACGGCUAACUACGUG
Molecule: ribosomal RNA, 497 nt
Filed under: uncultured bacterium
Lineage: Bacteria
Description: partial 16S ribosomal RNA
Rfam family: Bacterial small subunit ribosomal RNA
Source: RNAcentral